Molecule: ribosomal RNA, 490 nt
Filed under: uncultured bacterium
Lineage: Bacteria
Description: partial 16S ribosomal RNA
Rfam family: Bacterial small subunit ribosomal RNA
Source: RNAcentral
AUUGAACGCUGGCGGCAUGCCUUACACAUGCAAGUCGAACGGCAUCGCGGGAAAGCUUGCUUUCCUGGCGGCGAGUGGCGAACGGGUGAGUAACACAUCGGAACGUACCGGCUAGUGGGGGAUAACCCGUCGAAAGACGGGCUAAUACCGCAUACGCUCUUCGGAGGAAAGCAGGGGACCUUUGGGCCUUGCGCUAGCCGAGCGGCCGAUGUCCGAUUAGCUAGUUGGUGGGGUAAAGGCCUACCAAGGCGACGAUCGGUAGCGGGUCUGAGAGGACGAUCCGCCACACUGGGACUGAGACACGGCCCAGACUCCUACGGGAGGCAGCAGUGGGGAAUCUUGGACAAUGGGGGCAACCCUGAUCCAGCAAUGCCGCGUGGGUGAAGAAGGCCUUCGGGUUGUAAAGCCCUUUCGGCAGGUAAGAAAUCGGCGGGGCGAAUAACCCUGCUGGAUGACGGUACCUGCAGAAGAAGCACCGGCUAACUACGUG